CUUGCAAGCAUAGAUUUUUGGUUGAUUCAUCAAAAAGAGAAAGUAUUCGAAGUUCUUAAUUGAAGAAGUUUGGGGUUACGUCAAUACAAAUGUUUCCAAUGGAGGAGGAUUGAGAUGCUUCAACUGCGUUUACCAUGAGGAUUUUUAUUGGAAUUUUACAAGGGAAAGCUGUUCUUAAGUUUAAUGGGCUUAAAAUUGUAGUAAGGGAGGUUUGAUGGCCUUAAAUAUCAACAACGUUAACAAAUUUGAUGAAGGCGCCCUAUCAAAUGCAAUAUUAAACUAUGGAUUUCACGGGUUAAGAAACAAAGCUUUUUUGUAGUCCUAUUUCAAUGUUAAAAAAAAUUAUUUUGAAUUUUUUUAAUCUAAAUCAUGUUUUUUUUAAAAAAAAAAAUUUUAUUUAAGACUUUGCCGGUAUCAUAACAGCUCUCACAUUAAUUUGGCGCCAUGUCCCAAAUUCAAUCUGAUCCCUCAACUCACAACAAUCCUCGUCCCGCAUUCAUGACACCGCAAAAGCUUCUCCCAGUCGAAAAAUGCUCACUGGGAUGCCCCAUCCUAGACUGCUGCAUGGGCGGAGGCAUCCCUUGCAACUCCAUAACCGAAAUCGUGGCUGAAAGUGGUUCCGGCAAAACCCAACUCUGCCUCCAACUCUCCCUCCGCGCCCAACUCCCACCCUUCCUCGGCGGCCUGUCCGCUUCCUCUCUUUACCUCUACACCGAAUUCCCGUUUCCCACUCGCCGCCUCCACCAGCUCUCCAGUGCCCUUCAAUGUCAAUACCCACAAAUAUUCGCCAGCAAUUAUGAUCCUUGUGAUAAUAUAUUUCUGCAAAGUGUAAACACCGCAGACCAACUGCUCGAUAUAAUGCCGCAAAUAGAAUCAUUUCUUGAAAACUCAAAAACCCGGUUGCCUGUCAGAGUGAUUGUGAUCGAUUCCAUGGCUGCAUUGUUUAGGGCUGAGUUUGAGAAUACAGCGAGUGAUCUUAUAAGGAGGUCGUCGUUGUUUUUUAAGAUAUCUGGGAAGCUAAAAGAGUUUGCGAAGAGGUUUAAUUUGGUGGUGCUGGUGACUAAUCAAGUGAUGGAUGUUGUGGACUCUGGAGAGGGAGUAAACGAGGUAAGGAUUGGGAAUUUGAGUGGUAUGUAUUCGUCUGGACGAAGGGUUUGUCCGGCUCUGGGAUUGUCGUGGGCUAAUUGUGUAAAUUCGAGGUUGUUCUUGUCCAAAGAUGAAUAUGAGAGUGGUUUGGUGGGUGUUGGUGAGAGUGCUUUUCUGUCUAGGGAAACAAGGAGAAGGCUUCAUGUUGUUUUUGCGCCACAUUUGCCUGAUUUGUCUUGUGAGUUUGUGAUCAGGAGAGAAGGGGUUGUGGGAGUCAACAGAUAAACGAGGAGAUGGCUUCACGCUGUUUUUGCGCCGCAUUACCCUGGUUUGUCCUGUCACUUUUGUUCCUCAAUUUAAGCUUGUAUUCACUUCUUUACAUGGAGGCUUCGCUCCGGCAGAGAUACCAGCACUUUUACGAUGGCUGCACUUCCAGCAUGUAAAGGAACCAUUUGUAUUUAACAGCCAAAUAUCUUCUAUGCUUUUAGAUUAGGGGAGCAGACCCAUGAUGUCAACUCUUUUGCUUGCCCUGAUUUACAUUAAGAAUAGUAGGAAUUACAAA
RNA transcript from Populus euphratica (Euphrates poplar), 1648 nucleotides. It is a transcript of the gene named homolog of X-ray repair cross complementing 3 (XRCC3), with no coding region annotated. The transcript has 2 exons. NCBI's taxonomy places the organism in Eukaryota, Viridiplantae, Streptophyta, Magnoliopsida, Malpighiales, Salicaceae. The record is from RefSeq and is a predicted model, not a curated record.